UCCCUGUUUCUGUCCCUAUCUCCUUCUCUCUCCCAGAAAGUUUCUUGCCUUCUCUUGACUUACAGAAGACAUCACUUCCUUGAAGACUUGGCUCACUAUAAGCCUCCUGGCGGCUCCUUCCUGGGGCACUGGGCCAAACUCCUGACACGAUUAAGAAGAGGUUUUGGAACUGGGCCAGACUAGGAAAACAGGAAAGAUGACGAACAAAGCUUCCCUCCUUCUGAGGGUUGUUUAUUCCAGUGUUCCUUCAGUUGAGUUUUCUGGGUACACAGCAGCCCUUGGCUUUCCAUCCCAUGUGCAGCCUCUGGCCCAGCACUUAGUCCACUCUCAGUCAUAGAGCUUAUCACACAGACUUGCUCCAGUGCCCACUUGUCCAACUGCCCCAAACUCCUGGAAACCAGAAAGAACACAGAUGUAUCUCAACUGAGUGCCUACCAUAUUUCUACAGGAGGAACUGUCUUCGCAUAAAAGCCCCUCUGCAGCUCCUUAAGCUGCUCCCCAUCGCUCGAAUUACCACCUGAGCUCUGCUUCCUGUCUGAUCAGCAGCAGCAUUUGAUUCUCAUAGGAGUGCGAACUCUUGUGAACUGCGCAUAUCCUACUGAUGCUUCAAUUGCCUCAUCUUUGGUCAACAAGAGCCUCUUCAAGACAUUGGCUUCUGAGCCCUUUUGACAUGACACUAUAGCUUUAUUGCUUUCUGGAAUGAAAAAGUCUUCUUGGUUCAUCUUGUAUAUUUUUUGCUCCAGACCUUGAAUCAGCUAUUUCUCCUAGGAGCCCUGGUUCUUUUGUGGGAAAUGAGUCUGAACAUCCAUAUUCGAGAGCAUGUUCUUGCCUACAUGUGAAUGGCAAGGCUGGAACGGAAGGCGGCAGACGUGUCCAGGGCAGCACUGAUGGCCGGACUGACCCCACCUCCCCCCAUCGUCCAUACUUAGAGCCAGCGGCCACUGCAAGUGUAAUUAGUCAAUAAAUCAUCCCGAGUGAUAAAUAGAAUGAUAGAUGCAGGUUUCACUUGAUCACUUUUUUAUUAAGGAGAAAUAAAUCAGCACCACAUUGUUGCUAUAAACCUUUCAAACUGGUCAGAUCCUGGCUGGUAGGAGCUGAUUAACAUGGCCACGUGUAGAGACCAUUUGUAGCUGAUCAUUGAGAUCAAUCAAUCCCUGUCAAGUUCCCUUCUUAGAAGAGGUGGCAGAAGCCAGGUGCUGUUCCACCAUCCACUGCUCCUGUGGCUUCUUGCCGCAGGGGCAAUGGGGAGAGUGUGAGCGUGCUUUGGUGCCAGACAGCCCAGAUUUGAAUCCCAGCUGAGCCACCAACCAGCUGUGUAACCCCGGCUAGCUGUCAUCCCCUCUCUUGGCCUCAGCUUCCUCUUCCCGAACAAGAGCGUGACACCAGGAACUUCCUUAGAGAGUUUUUCUGAGCAUUGUGGUGUCAAACUUCUUGGUUUCAGGACCCUAUUAUGUGCCUAAAAAUUGUCAAAG
Molecule: long non-coding RNA, 1472 nt
Filed under: Homo sapiens (human)
Lineage: Eukaryota; Metazoa; Chordata; Mammalia; Primates; Hominidae
Description: HSALNT0267322
Source: RNAcentral